RNAcentral lists this ribosomal RNA (374 nucleotides) under uncultured bacterium. Its description in RNAcentral is "bacterial SSU rRNA". It matches the Rfam family "Bacterial small subunit ribosomal RNA", at positions 30 to 395 of the family's 1533-position model. The record is from RNAcentral.
AUUGAACGCUGGCGGCAGGCCUAACACAUGCAAGUCGAACGGUAGCACAGAGAGCUUGCUCUCGGGUGACGAGUGGCGGACGGGUGAGUAAUGUCUGGGAAACUGCCUGAUGGAGGGGGAUAACUACUGGAAACGGUAGCUAAUACCGCAUAACGUCGCAAGACCAAAGAGGGGGACCUUCGGGCCUCUUGCCAUCAGAUGUGCCCAGAUGGGAUUAGCUAGUAGGUGGGGUAACGGCUCACCUAGGCGACGAUCCCUAGCUGGUCUGAGAGGAUGACCAGCCACACUGGAACUGAGACACGGUCCAGACCUCGUACGGGAGGCAGCAGUGGGGAAUAUUGCACAAGUGGGACGCAAGUCCGUGAUGCAGCCAU